AGAACAGAAAAAGUCAUAUAUCAAGGCAACGUUAAUAUGCUUUGAUAGGGACACUUGUCAGAGACUUUCUCCAGCUAGCUUCUCUUUUCUUGAAGAAUGCCAAGUAACGGGAAUUAUAUCGCAGACCAACUUUGCAAAUUGGCUUCCAUCUCUCAAGAACUUGUUGCAAUUAAGAACUCAGUUCUUCCCACAGGUCUCAACUGGCCAUUUUCUGUAACCAGCCAAGGGCUCAAGUGGAGGAAUUGUUACACCAACCUAUCUCUAAACCCUUGACCUACAGAUUCUACUGCCUGUAGAGUGAACUGGGACUGGAGCUUAGCAGAAUCAUCAUUAAAGAGAUCAGAGAGACUUCUUCCAGCAUCUGAUGGGAGCAGAUGCACAGUCCCACAACCAAACAUUAGGUGGAGUUCAAAGAGUCCUGGGGAGACAGGAGGAAGGAUCUGAGGAUUGGUCAGGAACAUACCGUGAGAAUGUUGCCCAGAGAACUAAUUGACUGAGAUUUGUGGGAAGUUGCAGAGAUCAGUAAUCCUGUAGAGCUCUAACCUGGGUACUUUACAUACAUAUGUUAUGGCUGAGUGGCUUGGUGUUCUUGUGGAAAUCAGGGUCUAUCCCUCACUAACUCUUUUGCCUAUCUGUGAAAACCAUUUUCUCUUACUGGGUUGUCUUGCCCAGCUUUGAUGUGAUGGUAUGUGCCUGGUCUUAUUGUAGUUUGUUAUAGCCUGCUUGAUAUUUGGUUGAUGUCCCUGGGAGGCCGGCUCUUCUCAGCAGGGAGAGAAGAGGGAGGGGAAAUUGGUUGAGAUGUAAUUCAUGAGAGAAUAACAAAAAAACAAAGUCUAAUUCAGUUAGUAGAUUCAUAGACUAACACCUUGGUCACAUGUGUACUUCAAGCUGCUGUCUCCCUGUGUGUGAAUCCAUUCAUAUGCAUGUGCAGUAGUCAGAGGCAGCUUUUGGGAACUGUUUUUUUUUUUUUCCUUCUGUUUUGUGGGCUUCAGAAUUAGAUCUCAGUUGAUCAAGCUUGACAGCAAGUGCCUGUACACACUGAACCCUCUCAUUGAUCCCCUAAUAUAGUUUCCAAUAGUCUGUAAAGGGCAUAUAUUUGCACUAUAAUCUUAUUUUUAAAGUAAAAAGUAAACUUAAGUGUUCAUUUGAAUGGGCAAGGAUGGAAAACAGGUUGUCUGAGGAUAUCAAGUUAAUUGAAGAAUUUUACUAAAAUUAUCCUAGGAGUUUUCUUGUUCAGCACAAUGAAUUGAAACACCUUAAACAUUAAUAGGUAACAUUUACACAUUAGUUACAUGGUCAAGAGAUAAUUUUAGAAUUUUAAAUAAUUUUUAAUGUAUGGUAUUAUGUCUAAUUUAAAGAAAUUUUCUCUCCGAAUUGAGAUUUUCCGUUUUGUGAUCCUAGUCAAAUCGCAAACUUAAAUUGAAAAUUAUUCAUUAAUUACUGCAAUUCUAGUGCUUAGCUGAGUUAUGAUUUUAUUAUUGUCUUCACUCUGGCAGUGCAGAAUCAAGUGUAAUUUGAUAUUCUAUUCACAUUAAGGAAAACAUUGGAAGCAUAUAUUUCCCAGCCUAUACUAUUCACGAUCUAUAGCUCUGACACUGAACCUUUAAAAAUUUUCCCCUUUCUCCCUCCAAACCAUCCCUUAUACUCCUCCCAAUCUCCUUCAAGUUCAUGGCCACUUUUCAUUACUUAUCCCCACAUGCAUGUAAAUAUACAUUAUAUUAAUAAAUAUCCCAUGCUCAGUCCA
Molecule: long non-coding RNA, 1744 nt
Organism: Mus musculus (house mouse)
Lineage: Eukaryota; Metazoa; Chordata; Mammalia; Rodentia; Muridae
Product: predicted gene 29601
Exons: 2
Source: RefSeq, marked validated